RNAcentral lists this ribosomal RNA (316 nucleotides) under Talaromyces sp. Its description in RNAcentral is "partial large subunit ribosomal RNA". It matches the Rfam family "Eukaryotic large subunit ribosomal RNA", at positions 51 to 368 of the family's 3401-position model. Lineage: Eukaryota; Fungi; Ascomycota; Eurotiomycetes; Eurotiales; Trichocomaceae. The record is from RNAcentral.
UUGUUGAAGACCACCGGGAUUGCCUCAGUAACGGCGAGUGAAGCGGCAAGAGCUCAAAUUUGAAAUCUGGCCCCCCCGGGGUCCGAGUUGUAAUUUGGAGAGGAUGCUUCGGGCGCCGUUCCCGUCUAAGUGCCCCUGGAACGGGCUGUCGCAGAGGGUGAGAACCCCGUCUGGGACGGGCGACGGCGCCCGUGUGAAGCUCCUUCGACGAGUCGAGUUGUUUGGGAAUGCAGCUCUAAGCGGGUGGUAAAUUUCAUCUAAAGCUAAAUACUGGCCGGAGACCGAUAGCCCACAAUUAGAGUGAUCGAAAGAUUAA